This 525-nucleotide ribosomal RNA is filed under the name uncultured bacterium. RNAcentral describes it as "bacterial SSU rRNA". It matches the Rfam family "Bacterial small subunit ribosomal RNA", at positions 384 to 901 of the family's 1533-position model. The record is from RNAcentral.
UGAUGCAGCCAUGCCGCGUGUGUGAAGAAGGCCUUCGGGUUGUAAAGCACUUUCAGUUGUGAGGAAAGUUUAGUAAUUAAUACCUGCUACAUGUGACGUUUCCAACAGAACAAGCACCGGCUAACUCCGUGCCAGCAGCCGCGGUAAUACGGAGGGUGCGAGCGUUAAUCGGAAUUACUGGGCGUAAAGCGCACGCAGGCGGUCUGUUAAGCUAGAUGUGAAAGCCCCGCGCUCAACGUGGGAAGUUCAUUUGAAACUGGUGGACUAGAGUCUUGGAGAGGGGAGUGGAAUUCCAGGUGUAGCGGUGAAAUGCGUAAAGAUCUGGAGGAACAUCAAUGGCGAAGGCAACUCCCUGGCCAAAGACUGACGCUCAUGUGCGAAAGUGUGGGUAGCGAACAGGAUUAAAUACCCUGGUAGUCCACACCGUAAACGCUGUCUACUAUCUGUUUGUGAAUUUAAUUCGUGAGUAGCGAAGCUAACGCGAUAAGUAGACCGCCUGGGGAUACGGCCCCCAAGGUUAAAACU